This 3204-nucleotide ribosomal RNA is filed under the name Triticum aestivum (bread wheat). Its description in RNAcentral is "partial small subunit ribosomal RNA". The record is from RNAcentral. Lineage: Eukaryota; Viridiplantae; Streptophyta; Magnoliopsida; Poales; Poaceae.
AUGGCCAUGAUCCUGAAUGCCUUAGCAUCCAACGUGCUAAACAUGUUAAUGGAGGUAGGAAAAGAAGAGGUGAGCUUGCUUCUCGGAGUCUCCGGUGAGAUCAAUAGGAUGCGCGUUCGGCUCCAGGACCUCAGGAACUUCUUGACCGAUGCUGACAGAAGGCGCAUCACCGACAAUAGUGUCCAGGGAUGGGUGACAGAGCUCAAGGGUGUCAUGUAUGAAGCAACCGACAUCCUUGAUCUCUGCCAGCUCAAGGCCAUGGAGCAAAGUCCAUUAGCAUCACAAAAGGGGUGCUUCAACCAAUUAUUCUCCUGCCUGCGCAGUCCCCUCUUCACCCAUGAUAUCAGCAGCCGCAUCAAGGUGCUUAACCAGAGACUAGACAACAUUAAGGAGCGGAGUGCUGCCUUUAGCUUCAUCAACCUCGGCUCCUACGAUGACCAUGGUGGCAAAGUACAUGCCUCACAUGUUGCCUUUCCCAGCCGCGAGACGUCAGGGGAGCUUGACCGGUCGGGUGUCGUCGGGGAGAAGAUCGAACAGGACACGAGAAAGCUGGUGGAGAUCAUGUUGACUGGAAUCAAGGGGGGAACGAGCCAUGGAGACGGCAAAGUCAUGGUUUUCGCUAUUGUGGGUGUUGGCGGGAUCGGCAAGACCACUCUCGCCCGGAAGGUCUUCAACGACGAGGCUAUCCAAAGUGAGUUCGACAAGACAAUAUGUGUCAGCAUCAAUCAAGACCUCAACGAAGCUGAGCUGCUGAAGAGAGCCAUCAUUGAAGCAGGGGGAGACCAUUCGCAUGCUGGAAAUGCAAAGGCCACGCUUCAACGAGUCCUCAAGGAUACCUUGACAGGGAAGAAGAUCUUGCUAGUGAUGGAUGAUGUUUGGAAUAAUAUAGCAUGGGAGGAUGUGCUCAAAACACCGCUUGUUAAUGGGGCCACUCCAGGUAGCCGAGUCCUGGUCACCACUAGAGAUGAAAGAGUCGCCCGAGGGAUGAAAGCUAUACCUCCCUACCACCACAUCGACAAAUUAGAUGCCGAUGAUGCUUGGUCCUUGCUCAAGAAACAGGUAGCCGCAAGUGAGAUGGAUGAGUCCGAUAUUGCUGCACUAAAGGAUACUGGAAUGGAAAUUGUAUCAAAAUGUGAUGACUUGCCGCUCGCAGUCAAAGUGAUGGGAGGGCUCUUGCGUCAGAAAGAUAGAAAUCACAGUGACUGGGGUAAGGUCUUGAAUGAUUCUGCAUGGUCGGUUGUUGGAAUGCCUGAAGAGCUUAACUAUGUUGUAUACAUAAGCUAUGAAGAUCUAUCUCCUUGCCUGAAGCAAUGCUUUUUGCACUACUCCCUUCUCCCUAAAAACAUAGUCUUUGGCAGCAAUACAAUUGUUGGGAUGUGGAUCGGCGAAGGAUUUGUCCAUGGAAGCUCAUCAGAUGACCUAGAAGAACUUGGGAGACAGUACUAUAAAGAGUUGAUCUUGCGAAACCUCAUAGAGCCGUACAACAAGACUAUCAAUCAAUAUCAUUGCAUCAUGCACGAUGUUGUUCGCUCAUUUGGUCAAUGCAUGUCACAAGAUGAAGCAUUAGUAGCUCAUAUUCGCGAGACUUCCACAAUUAGUAAACUUGGUUCCCAAAAGUUUAUUCGCUUAUCUAUAGAAACCGGAGGAUCUGAAUCAGAUAAACUGAAGUGGAGCAUGUUACAAGAACAGAAACAUGUAAGGACACUAAUAUCAGCUGGCCAAUUCGAGAUCAAGCCCAAUGAAACAUUGAUUUAUUUUUCAAGUCUACGUAAUUUGCACAUUCAGUCCGCAAACAUUGCUGCAUUGGUUGAUCAUAUAUAUCAACUCAAGCACUUGAGGUAUUUGUCUGUACGAGACUCUGACAUAUUUAGGCUGCCAGAUAACAUUGGCGAGAUGAAAUUUUUGCAGCUCCUUGACCUUAGGAGCUGUAGAAAAUUGAAGAAGCUUCCUAGUGGCAUUGUGAAACUAGGACACCUGAGGUAUCUUAACAUGAAUGAAACUAGUAAAGAUGCCACCAUACCUCGGGGGUUUGGUGCGCUAUCAAAUAUGAGGAUACUUUUCGGGUUUCCAGGCCACGUGGAUGACGAGUGGUGUAGUUUGGAAGAGUUGGGCCCUCUUUGUGAGCUAAGGAAGCUUGGUUUGAACAGUUUGGAGAAUGUAUAUGAUGCCUCAUCUGCUGAAAAGGCAAGGUUGUGUGAGAAAGUGCAUCUUACCAAGCUGAUCUUACGCUGCAGUAGUAGGACGGGAGACGAUGGGUUGGUGGAAGAGGAAGCAGGCGUCUCUGAGGAAGAGCAAAGAAAAAUCAUAGGGUUGUUUGAUGAGUUGUGCCCUCCACAUUGCUUAGAACGCCUGGAAAUUGGAGGAUAUUUUGGCCGACGGCUACCAAGGUGGAUGACGUCCACAUCUGCAACGGCCCUGAAGAGCUUAAAUACUCUCUGGAUUGAUGACCUGACUUGCUGCACCCAACUGCCUGAUGGUUUAUGUGAGCUCCCAUACUUGCAAUUCAUUCAUAUCUGCCAUGCUCCAGCAAUCAAGCAUGUUGGUCCUGAAUUCAUGCAACUCUACCAUCAUUGUAGUCAUCCUCCUUCCAAGACAAUGGUUUCAUUUCCCAGAUUGAACAAGCUGGACUUAAAAGAAAUGGUGCAAUGGGAGGUAUGGGAGUGGGAAGAAGAAGUGAAAGCCAUGCCCGUUUUGGAGGAGGUUCAGCUCAAGCAUUGCAAACUGAGGUGCCUUCCUCCGGGUCUUUCCUACCAUGCAAGGGCUUUGAGAAAACUAUCUCUAGAAAGCAUCCAACACCUCACUUCACUUGAGAACUUUGCUUCUAUCGUCGAUCUUGAAGUGUCCCAAAACCCUGACCUGGAGAGGAUCACCGAUCUCCCCGUAUUGCAGAAGCUCACCAUCAUCAUGUGCCCAAAGAUGAAGGUACUGGAGGGUGUGCCAUUACUCCAAAGCCUCUUUCUAGAGGACUACGGCAUGGAAGCACUCCCGGAAUACAUGCGAGGCGUAAACCCAAGGCAAUUGAAUCUGGAUUGCAGCAUAGCACUGCUCAGAUCCAUAGCUGCGGGACAACCGGGCCCUGAGUGGGCAAAAUUCAGCCAUGUCGGGCGUGUCAAGGGGUAUGCGCGGGAGGAAGACAACAAAAGAAAAUGGUACGUGAUGUACACAAGAGAACCCUACAACUUGGAGACAGAUAUCGACUAUUGA